AUGACUCUCGGCAAUGGAUAUCUCAGCUCUCGCAUCGAUAAAGAACGUAGCAAAAUGCGAUACCUGGUGUGAAUUGUAGAAUCCCAUGAACCAUCAAGUCUUUGAAUGCAAGUUGCACCUGAGGCCACUCGACCGAGGGCAUGCCUUCCUGGGCAUCACGU
This 161-nucleotide ribosomal RNA is filed under the name Pinanga rivularis. RNAcentral's name for it is "5.8S rRNA". It matches the Rfam family "5.8S ribosomal RNA". From Rfam's summary of the family: 5.8S ribosomal RNA (5.8S rRNA) is a component of the large subunit of the eukaryotic ribosome. Lineage: Eukaryota; Viridiplantae; Streptophyta; Magnoliopsida; Arecales; Arecaceae. The record is from RNAcentral.